This 502-nucleotide unclassified non-coding RNA is filed under the name uncultured Acaulospora. RNAcentral describes it as "SSU rRNA". It matches the Rfam family "Eukaryotic small subunit ribosomal RNA", at positions 591 to 1092 of the family's 1831-position model. The record is from RNAcentral. Lineage: Eukaryota; Fungi; Glomeromycota; Glomeromycetes; Diversisporales; Acaulosporaceae.
CCAAUAGCGUAUAUUAAAGUUGUUGCAGUUAAAAAGCUCGUAGUUGAAUUUCGGAGUUUGUCGGUUGGUCGGGCUUCACUGUCCGCACUGGCCUGAUGGAUUCCUACCUUCUGAAUAACCAGCAUGCUAUUAAGUUAGUGCGUUGGGGAAGCAGAGCUAUUACCUUGAAAAAAUUAGAGUGCUUAAAGCAGGCUUAUGCUUGCAUAGAUUAGCAUGGAAUAAUAAAAUAGGACGGCAUGGUUCUAUUUUGUUGGUUUCUAGGAUCACCGUAAUGAUUAAUAGGGAUAGUUGGGGGCAUUAGUAUUCAAUUGUCAGAGGUGAAAUUCUUGGAUUUAUUGAAGACUAACUUCUGCGAAAGCAUUUGCCAAGGAUGUUUUCAUUAAUCAAGAACGAAAGUUAGGGGAUCGAAGACGAUCAGAUACCGUCGUAGUCUUAACCAUAAACUAUGCCGACUAGGGAUCGGACGAUGUUAAUUUUUUAAUGACUCGUUCGGCGCCUUACG